RNAcentral lists this ribosomal RNA (459 nucleotides) under Theileria sp. Its description in RNAcentral is "SSU rRNA". It matches the Rfam family "Eukaryotic small subunit ribosomal RNA", at positions 486 to 984 of the family's 1831-position model. Lineage: Eukaryota; Apicomplexa; Aconoidasida; Piroplasmida; Theileriidae. The record is from RNAcentral.
CGGGGCUUAAUGUCUUGUAAUUGGAAUGAUGGGAAUUUAAACCUCUUCCAGAGUAUCAAUUGGAGGGCAAGUCUGGUGCCAGCAGCCGCGGUAAUUCCAGCUCCAAUAGCGUAUAUUAAAAUUGUUGCAGUUAAAAAGCUCGUAGUUGAAUUUCUGCUGCAUCGUUUCCUUCUUUUAUGUUGGUUUCGUUGUGGCUUAUUUCGGUUUGCUUUUUUGCUUUCCGGAUGAUUACUUUGAGAAAAUUAGAGUGCUCAAAGCAGGCUUUUGCCUUGAAUAGUUUAGCAUGGAAUAAUAAAGUAGGACUUUGGUUCUAUUUUGUUGGUUUUAGGUACCAAAGUAAUGGUUAAUAGGAACAGUUGGGGGCAUUCGUAUUUAACUGUCAGAGGUGAAAUUCUUAGAUUUGUUAAAGACGAACUACUGCGAAAGCAUUUGCCAAGGAUGUUUUCAUUAAUCAAGAAC